This 218-nucleotide ribosomal RNA is filed under the name uncultured bacterium. RNAcentral describes it as "partial 16S ribosomal RNA". It matches the Rfam family "Bacterial small subunit ribosomal RNA", at positions 122 to 334 of the family's 1533-position model. The record is from RNAcentral.
AAACCUGCCUCAUAGACUGGGACAACUAUUGGAAACGAUAGCUAAUACCGGAUAACAGCAUUAACUGCAUGGUUGAUGUUUGAAAGUUGGUUUUGCUAACACUAUGAGAUGGCUUUGCGGUGCAUUAGCUAGUUGGUGGGAUAAAGGCCUACCAAGGCGACGAUGCAUAGCCGACCUGAGAGGGUGAUCGGCCACACUGGGACUGAGACACGGCCCAG